CUAGUCGUAGCCGAUGUUCCACAGCAGGGGGCCCAGGACAGACCCCUGCGGAACACCGCGCUGGACGGG
RNAcentral lists this microRNA precursor (69 nucleotides) under Bombyx mori (domestic silkworm). RNAcentral's name for it is "mir-3389 microRNA precursor family". It matches the Rfam family "mir-3389 microRNA precursor family". Lineage: Eukaryota; Metazoa; Arthropoda; Insecta; Lepidoptera; Bombycidae. The record is from Rfam by way of RNAcentral.